UUUGAGGUGAUGAUCCUUUCCCCAAAUUAUCGACUAUGAUUAUACUGUGCGAUUUUUCGAGCUCUUCUCUUCGGAGAAGGCGCUCCUAAGCCAGAUGUUCUGAUCGAA
RNAcentral lists this small nucleolar RNA (108 nucleotides) under Zea mays. RNAcentral describes it as "Small nucleolar RNA Z103". It matches the Rfam family "Small nucleolar RNA Z103". Rfam says of the family: This family consists of several snoRNA Z103 sequences which are members of the C/D class of snoRNA which contain the C (UGAUGA) and D (CUGA) box motifs. This family seems to be found exclusively in plants. The record is from Rfam by way of RNAcentral. Lineage: Eukaryota; Viridiplantae; Streptophyta; Magnoliopsida; Poales; Poaceae.